CAGAGAGUAGCUUAACAAAAGCGAUCGCCUUACAACCGACUGAUGCCCAAUAAGGGCCUCACUGA
Molecule: transfer RNA, 65 nt
Filed under: Tropiocolotes tripolitanus
Lineage: Eukaryota; Metazoa; Chordata; Lepidosauria; Squamata; Gekkonidae
Description: tRNA-Val
Source: RNAcentral